GGGUACCCCCUCCGCGUCUAGGGCUCGUCCUAAGAAAAAGAAUUCCUCGAAGAUGCCAAAACAUGUGAAGAAGCGGCCAUUGAGCUUUGUGGAUAUGUUGAAUGCACCUAAUUCGCCUACGGAUCAAGAGAGGGCGGAGGUAUGUAUCUCUACUUUAUUUUCUUGAUUUCAUGAUUAUAUGCACGCGUACAUGUGAACUUGUGAUAUAUUAUAAUCUUAUAAUUUUUUCAUACAGGAAAUAUCCAUACCUAUUUCGUCAAUGGCGAACCCUCCUCCUUGCACUGGAGAAGCAUCUCAGGAUCCGGUAAUAGCGACAAUUUCUACAUCGAUGGUGAGCCAUCCUCAGUCCAUUGGAGAAGCAUCUCAGGCACAGGUA
Cryptomeria japonica (Japanese cedar) is the source of this 376-nucleotide long non-coding RNA. RefSeq lists it as uncharacterized. NCBI's taxonomy places the organism in Eukaryota, Viridiplantae, Streptophyta, Pinopsida, Cupressales, Cupressaceae. The transcript is spliced from 3 exons. The record is from RefSeq and is a predicted model, not a curated record.